This 73-nucleotide transfer RNA is filed under the name Sphaerodactylus townsendi. Its description in RNAcentral is "tRNA-Ala". The stretch from base 2 to 63 matches the Rfam family "tRNA". Rfam says of the family: Transfer RNA (tRNA) molecules are approximately 80 nucleotides in length. Their secondary structure includes four short double-helical elements and three loops (D, anti-codon, and T loops). The record is from RNAcentral. Lineage: Eukaryota; Metazoa; Chordata; Lepidosauria; Squamata; Sphaerodactylidae.
GGGGGCUGUGGCUCAGUGGAAGAGCCUCUGCUUUGCCUGCAGAAGGCGCUAGAUUCAGUCCCGAGCACUUCCA